AGGACGAACGCUGGCGGCGUGCUUAACACAUGCAAGUCGAGCGGUAAGGCCUUUCGGGGUACACGAGCGGCGAACGGGUGAGUAACACGUGGGUGAUCUGCCCUGCACUCUGGGAUAAGCCUGGGAAACUGGGUCUAAUACCGGAUAUGACCUGCUCUCGCAUGGGGGGUGGGUGGAAAGUAUUUAGUCGGUGCGAGGAGUCGGGCCCGCGGCCUAUCGAGUCUUUGGUUGGGUAGGGUAAUCGGACCUACCGAAGGCGACGGACGGGUAGCCGACCUGAGGAGGGUCGACCGGCCACACGUGGGACUGAGACCGACGGCCCAGACCUCCGUACGGGAGCAGCAGGUGGGAAUAGUUGCAACGAAGUGGGCGACAAGCCUGAUGACAGCCGACGCCGGCGUGGAGGAUGGAACGGGUCCGUUUACGGGGUUUAC
Molecule: ribosomal RNA, 434 nt
Filed under: uncultured soil bacterium
Lineage: Bacteria
Description: bacterial SSU rRNA
Rfam family: Bacterial small subunit ribosomal RNA
Source: RNAcentral